CCUACGGGGGGCAGCAGUGAGGAAUAUUGGUCAAUGGUCGGGAGACUGAACCAGCCAAGCCGCGUGAGGGAUGACGGUACAGAGUAUCGUAAACCUCUUUUGUCAGGGAACAAAGGCGGGGACGUGUCCCCGGAUGAGUGUACCUGAAGAAAAAGCAUCGGCUAACUCCGUGCCAGCAGCCGCGGUAAUACGGAGGAUGCGAGCGUUAUCCGGAUUUAUUGGGGUUAAAGGGUGCGCAGGCGGUGUGUGAAGUUAGCGGUCAAAGCCCGGGGCUCAACCCCGGCCCGCCGUUGAAACUGGCAGUCGCGAGUUGGAGAGAAGUAUGCGGAAUGCGCGGUGUAGCGGUGAAAUGCAUAGAUAUCGCGCAGAACUCCGAUUGCGAAGGCAGCAUGCCGGCUCCACACUGACGCUGAGGCACGAAAGCGUGGGUAUCGAACAGGAUUAGAUACCCUUGUAGUC
Molecule: ribosomal RNA, 459 nt
Filed under: uncultured bacterium
Lineage: Bacteria
Description: partial 16S ribosomal RNA
Rfam family: Bacterial small subunit ribosomal RNA
Source: RNAcentral